Molecule: ribosomal RNA, 534 nt
Filed under: Dissingia leucomelaena
Lineage: Eukaryota; Fungi; Ascomycota; Pezizomycetes; Pezizales; Helvellaceae
Description: partial 28S large subunit ribosomal RNA
Rfam family: Eukaryotic large subunit ribosomal RNA
Source: RNAcentral
AAUCUGGGGUCCCCGACCCCCGAGUUGUAAUUUGGAGAGGCACCUUCGGGAGGAGCGCUGGCCCAUGUUCCUUGGAACAGGACGUCGCAGAGGGUGAGAAUCCCGUGCCAGGCCAGCCGCGCCCUUCCUUGUGAAGCGCCUUCGACGAGUCGAGUUGUUUGGGAAUGCAGCUCCAAGUGGGUGGUAAAUUUCAUCUAAAGCUAAAUACCGGCGAGAGACCGAUAGCGCACAAGUAGAGUGAUCGAAAGAUGAAAAGCACUUUGAAAAUAGAGUCAAAAAGUACGUGAAAUUGUUGAAAGGGAAGCGCUUGAGACCAGACUCGGAGCGAGGCAAACAUCUGGCCCCGCGGGGCCGUGCACUUGCCUCGAUCCGGGCCAGCAUCAGUUGGCGUGGCGGGAGAAAGGCGCGGGGAAUGUGGCUCCCCCCGGGGAGUGUUAUUAGCCCCGCGCUCAAUGCCGCCCUCGCCGACUGAGGACCGCGCUUCGGCUAGGAUGCUGGCUUAAUGGCCUUCAGCGACCCGUCUUGAAACACGGA